This 253-nucleotide ribosomal RNA is filed under the name uncultured bacterium. RNAcentral's name for it is "partial 16S ribosomal RNA". It matches the Rfam family "Bacterial small subunit ribosomal RNA", at positions 524 to 776 of the family's 1533-position model. The record is from RNAcentral.
UACGGAGGGUGCGAGCGUUGUCCGGAUUUAUUGGGUUUAAAGGGUGCGUAGGCGGCCAGAUAAGUCCGGGGUGAAAGCCCGUUGCUCAACAACGGAACUGCCCUGGAUACUGUGUGGCUUGAGUCCAGACGAGGGUGGCGGAAUGGCCGGAGUAGCGGUGAAAUGCAUAGAUACCGUCCAGAACCCCGAUGGCGAAGGCAGCUGCCUAGACUGGAACUGACGCUGAGGCACGACAGCGUGGGGAGCGAACAGG